CUGAGCUCUAUACACACAGACGUCGAGCAACCAGCAGAGAAAGCAAAGAUUUCUGAGAGAAUCCCACAUAGAGUGGCUGCUAUAAUAGCAUGGCUGUUUAAAGCUGGAUUGCUCUGCGUCUUCUCUCGGCGCCUGCCUGGAAUGAGCUCCUUCGUCAGGGGUUAAGGCUGCAGUGAGUUUGGCAAUGAGCUGAAAACCUUG
Molecule: long non-coding RNA, 201 nt
Filed under: Coturnix japonica (Japanese quail)
Lineage: Eukaryota; Metazoa; Chordata; Aves; Galliformes; Phasianidae
Description: lncRNA (ENSCJPG00005014712.1)
Source: RNAcentral